GGAAGGUGGGGAUGACGUCAAAUCAUCAUGCCCCUUAUGAUUUGGGCUACACACGUGCUACAAUGGACAAUACAAAGGGCAGCGAAACCGUGAGGUCAAGCAAAUCCCAUAAAGUUGUUCUCAGUUCGGAUUGUAGUCUGCAACUCGACUACAUGAAGCUGGAAUCGCUAGUAAUCGUAGAUCAUCAUGCUACGGUGAAUACGUUCCCGGGUCUUGUACACACCGCCCGUCACACCACGAGAGUUUGUAACACCCGAAGCCGGUGGAGUAACCUUUUAGGAGCUAGCCGUCGAAGGUGGGACAAAUGAUUGGGGUGAAGUCGUAACAAGGUAGCCGUAUCGGAAGGUGCGGCUGGAUCACCUCCUUUCUAAGGA
RNAcentral lists this ribosomal RNA (374 nucleotides) under Staphylococcus aureus. Its description in RNAcentral is "bacterial SSU rRNA". It matches the Rfam family "Bacterial small subunit ribosomal RNA", at positions 1168 to 1533 of the family's 1533-position model. The record is from RNAcentral. Lineage: Bacteria; Bacillati; Bacillota; Bacilli; Caryophanales; Staphylococcaceae.